Molecule: long non-coding RNA, 394 nt
Organism: Micropterus dolomieu (smallmouth bass)
Lineage: Eukaryota; Metazoa; Chordata; Actinopteri; Centrarchiformes; Centrarchidae
Exons: 4
Source: RefSeq, a predicted model, not a curated record
CGGUCGUGGAGAGUCUCCAUCCAGCUGGAUCUCUGUCACAGUGAAACCCACCACUACAGGUCCUCCUUCAAGCACCCCCUAUUCUCCUGGUUCCUCCUCCUCUUCCUCUCUGUGGUCUGCUGUUCUAUCUUUCUCUGGUUCUACUGGUUCUUCUGGUUCUACUGGUGAGACGAUGCCUCCAUAAGAAACCUAAAGCUGCUGAAAUAGAAUUUGGAGAUGAAGACAUCACAGAUGACAUCACUGAUCUACAGCAGCCAAUCAGACGCAGCAGAGUCUCCGUGCCCUCUCCUCCCCGUCUGCCAGCCUCCCUCAAGCCUCCAGCCUAAGCGCCUUCUGCUCCUCCAGCUACUCGGUUCCCCGGGUCCUCGUCUGCCUCUCCCCCUCUUUCCACCCG